RNAcentral lists this ribosomal RNA (250 nucleotides) under uncultured bacterium. Its description in RNAcentral is "partial 16S rRNA". It matches the Rfam family "Bacterial small subunit ribosomal RNA", at positions 62 to 315 of the family's 1533-position model. The record is from RNAcentral.
UCGAACGGAAAGGCCCUGCUUGCAGGGUACUCGAGUGGCGAACGGGUGAGUAACACGUGGGUGAUCUGCCCUGCACUUCGGGAUAAGCCUGGGAAACUGGGUCUAAUACCGGAUAGGACCAUCGUUUAGUGUCGGUGGUGGAAAGUUUUUCGGUGUGGGAUGAUCUCGCGGCCUAUCAGCUUGUUGGUGGGGUAAUGUUCUUCCAAGGCCUUUACGGCUAGCCGGCCUGAUAGGUUGGACGGCCACAUUG